This 1355-nucleotide ribosomal RNA is filed under the name Plagiopsetta glossa. RNAcentral describes it as "16S ribosomal RNA". It matches the Rfam family "Bacterial large subunit ribosomal RNA", at positions 216 to 2486 of the family's 2925-position model. Lineage: Eukaryota; Metazoa; Chordata; Actinopteri; Pleuronectiformes; Samaridae. The record is from RNAcentral.
AAAACAUUCUUUGCUCUUAGUACGGGAGACAGAAAAGAGCCAUCUAUGAAGCCACAGAAAAAGUACCGCAAGGGAAAGCUGAAAAAGAUAUGAAAAAGCCCAGUAAAGCUUAAAAAAGCAGAGACCCCCCCUCGUACCUUUUGCAUCAUGAUUUAGCUAGUAUAAUCAAGCAAAGCGCCCUUUAGUUUGACGCCCCGAAACUGAGGGAGCUACUUCAAGACAGCCUAAAAAUAGGGCGAACCCUUCCCUGUGGCAAAAGGGUGGGACGAGCUUCAAGUAGAGGUGACAAACCUAACGAACUCAGUUAUAGCUGGUUGCCUGAGAACUGGAUAUAAGUUCAGCCUCCCGGCUCCUUACUUCCUUAAUAAAUAUACAUUAAUAGGUGCCAAAGGAACCAAGAGAGUUAUUCAAAAGAGGUACAGCUCUUUUGAAAAAAGACACAACUUUAUUUAGGAGAUUAAAGAUUAAACUUUAUUAAAGCAGCUUUUCCGAGUAGGCCUAGAAGCAGCCACCCCCUUAGAUAGCGUUAAAGCUCAAACAAACACUUCGCCUAUAAUACCAAUAAACAAAUCUAAUAUCCCUGAAUCUAUCAGGCCUCCCUAUUCUUUCACUUAUAGGAGAGACCAUGCUAAUAUGAGUAAUAAGAGAACAAAAUGUUUCUCUCCCCGCAUAAGUGUAAAACGGAACGGACACGCCACCGAAAAUUAAACGGACCCACCCCAGAGGGAAAUUGGUUAAACUUAAAAAUGCAAGAAAAUUACCCACUUUUGUAACCCGUUAAUCUCACACUAGAAUGCUCCCGGAAAGACCAAAAGGGAAGGAAGGAACUCGGCAAAUAUAUAAUACCAAGCUUCGCCUGUUUACCAAAAACAUCGCCUCUUGUCCCCCAAAAAUAAGAGGUCCUGCCUGCCCAGUGAUCAAAAGUUCAACGGCCGCGGUAUUCUGACCGUGCAAAGGUAGCGUAAUCACUUGUCCUUUAAAUGAAGACCUGUAUGAAUGGCGCGACGAAAGCUUAACUGUCUCCCCUCCCCUGUCAAUGAAAUUGAUCUCCCCGUGCAGAAGCGGGGAUAAACGCAUAAGACGAGAAGACCCUGUGGAGCUUCAAACACCAAGCCCAGCUCGCAUAAAUACCCAAACAUAAAUUAAGUGUAUAAAAUAUAUGACCCCUGAGCUAAUGUUUUCGGUUGGGGCGACCAUGGGGAAAUAAAAAACCCCCAAGAGGAUAGAAGCAUUACCCAAUAUAACACAACUUCCACAAAAAAGGCUGACAAGCCUAAUUUACAGAACCUCUGACCUAUACAGAUCCGGCCCAAGCCGAUCAACGAAUCAAGUUACCCCAGGGAUAACAGCGCAAU